Long non-coding RNA from Ornithodoros turicata, 486 nucleotides. RefSeq lists it as uncharacterized. NCBI's taxonomy places the organism in Eukaryota, Metazoa, Arthropoda, Arachnida, Ixodida, Argasidae. The record is from RefSeq and is a predicted model, not a curated record. The transcript has 3 exons.
CCAGGACUUCAUAAAAAGGAUCGGCAUCGGCAUCGGCAGGCUGUAGCUUCGUUCCAUAUUUCGGUACAAGGCCGUCCAAGAUAUGUGUCAGCUGUCUGCAGAUAUCAAAUCAAGACUGAACCAACCUCUCCCAGAGCUUUGCUGUCUACCUUUCGAGAGAAAAGGAAGCCCUGCUACAUCAAUGCCUAUGGGACUUGGGAGUUCGCAGCACUGGUGAUGUUACAUAUGUUCAAGAGAGGGAAUUAUCAACUAUCCUAAACCCCAUCCAAAGCAGGAAAUUUUUGCAGCUCUGGAAUGAUUUUGACAGCGCUGCUCUAACUGUGCCACAACCUCCGGGCAACAACACAGAGUCACAGCCUCUGGAGAACGUACGACCGUCAGUUCCACAACGCGUCAGUGCUGACUGGCCAACAACAUUUUCAAUACCGUUUCAUCGUGCAAACGCUGGCUUCCUGCGUGAUUUGGAUCAGAAAAAGCGCCCGAAAA